Molecule: ribosomal RNA, 2902 nt
Filed under: Escherichia coli KOEGE 61 (174a)
Lineage: Bacteria; Pseudomonadati; Pseudomonadota; Gammaproteobacteria; Enterobacterales; Enterobacteriaceae
Also listed under: 1 other name
Description: bacterial LSU rRNA
Rfam family: Bacterial large subunit ribosomal RNA
Source: RNAcentral
UUAAGCGACUAAGCGUACACGGUGGAUGCCCUGGCAGUCAGAGGCGAUGAAGGACGUGCUAAUCUGCGAUAAGCGUCGGUGAGGUGAUAUGAACCGUUAUAACCGGCGAUUUCCGAAUGGGGAAACCCAGUGUGUUUCGACACACUAUCAUUAACUGAAUCCAUAGGUUAAUGAGGCGAACCGGGGGAACUGAAACAUCUAAGUACCCCGAGGAAAAGAAAUCAACCGAGAUUCCCCCAGUAGCGGCGAGCGAACGGGGAGGAGCCCAGAGCCUGAAUCAGUGUGUGUGUUAGUGGAAGCGUCUGGAAAGGCGUGCGAUACAGGGUGACAGCCCCGUACACAAAAAUGCACAUAUUGUGAGCUCGAUGAGUAGGGCGGGACACGUGGUAUCCUGUCUGAAUAUGGGGGGACCAUCCUCCAAGGCUAAAUACUCCUGACUGACCGAUAGUGAACCAGUACCGUGAGGGAAAGGCGAAAAGAACCCCGGCGAGGGGAGUGAAAAAGAACCUGAAACCGUGUACGUACAAGCAGUGGGAGCCUCUUAAUGGGGUGACUGCGUACCUUUUGUAUAAUGGGUCAGCGACUUAUAUUCUGUAGCAAGGUUAACCGAAUAGGGGAGCCGAAGGGAAACCGAGUCUUAACUGGGCGUUAAGUUGCAGGGUAUAGACCCGAAACCCGGUGAUCUAGCCAUGGGCAGGUUGAAGGUUGGGUAACACUAACUGGAGGACCGAACCGACUAAUGUUGAAAAAUUAGCGGAUGACUUGUGGCUGGGGGGGAAAGGCCAAUCAAACCGGGAGAUAGCUGGUUCUCCCCGAAAGCUAUUUAGGUAGCGCCUCGUGAAUUCAUCUCCGGGGGUAGAGCACUGUUUCGGCAAGGGGGUCAUCCCGACUUACCAACCCGAUGCAAACUGCGAAUACCGGAGAAUGUUAUCACGGGAGACACACGGCGGGUGCUAACGUCCGUCGUGAAGAGGGAAACAACCCAGACCGCCAGCUAAGGUCCCAAAGUCAUGGUUAAGUGGGAAACGAUGUGGGAAGGCCCAGACAGCCAGGAUGUUGGCUUAGAAGCAGCCAUCAUUUAAAGAAAGCGUAAUAGCUCACUGGUCGAGUCGGCCUGCGCGGAAGAUGUAACGGGGCUAAACCAUGCACCGAAGCUGCGGCAGCGACACUAUGUGUUGUUGGGUAGGGGAGCGUUCUGUAAGCCUGUGAAGGUGGCCUGUGAGGGUUGCUGGAGGUAUCAGAAGUGCGAAUGCUGACAUAAGUAACGAUAAAGCGGGUGAAAAGCCCGCUCGCCGGAAGACCAAGGGUUCCUGUCCAACGUUAAUCGGGGCAGGGUGAGUCGACCCCUAAGGCGAGGCCGAAAGGCGUAGUCGAUGGGAAACAGGUUAAUAUUCCUGUACUUGGUGUUACUGCGAAGGGGGGACGGAGAAGGCUAUGUUGGCCGGGCGACGGUUGUCCCGGUUUAAGCGUGUAGGCUGGUUUUCCAGGCAAAUCCGGAAAACCAAGGCUGAGGCGUGAUGACGAGGCACUACGGUGCUGAAGCGACAAAUGCCCUGCUUCCAGGAAAAGCCUCUAAGCAUCAGGUAACAUCAAAUCGUACCCCAAACCGACACAGGUGGUCAGGUAGAGAAUACCAAGGCGCUUGAGAGAACUCGGGUGAAGGAACUAGGCAAAAUGGUGCCGUAACUUCGGGAGAAGGCACGCUGAUAUGUAGGUGAAGCGACUUGCUCGUGGAGCUGAAAUCAGUCGAAGAUACCAGCUGGCUGCAACUGUUUAUUAAAAACACAGCACUGUGCAAACACGAAAGUGGACGUAUACGGUGUGACGCCUGCCCGGUGCCGGAAGGUUAAUUGAUGGGGUUAGCGGCAACGCGAAGCUCUUGAUCGAAGCCCCGGUAAACGGCGGCCGUAACUAUAACGGUCCUAAGGUAGCGAAAUUCCUUGUCGGGUAAGUUCCGACCUGCACGAAUGGCGUAAUGAUGGCCAGGCUGUCUCCACCCGAGACUCAGUGAAAUUGAACUCGCUGUGAAGAUGCAGUGUACCCGCGGCAAGACGGAAAGACCCCGUGAACCUUUACUAUAGCUUGACACUGAACAUUGAGCCUUGAUGUGUAGGAUAGGUGGGAGGCUUUGAAGUGUGGACGCCAGUCUGCAUGGAGCCGACCUUGAAAUACCACCCUUUAAUGUUUGAUGUUCUAACGUUGGCCCGUAAUCCGGGUUGCGGACAGUGUCUGGUGGGUAGUUUGACUGGGGCGGUCUCCUCCUAAAGAGUAACGGAGGAGCACGAAGGUUGGCUAAUCCUGGUCGGACAUCAGGAGGUUAGUGCAAUGGCAUAAGCCAGCUUGACUGCGAGCGUGACGGCGCGAGCAGGUGCGAAAGCAGGUCAUAGUGAUCCGGUGGUUCUGAAUGGAAGGGCCAUCGCUCAACGGAUAAAAGGUACUCCGGGGAUAACAGGCUGAUACCGCCCAAGAGUUCAUAUCGACGGCGGUGUUUGGCACCUCGAUGUCGGCUCAUCACAUCCUGGGGCUGAAGUAGGUCCCAAGGGUAUGGCUGUUCGCCAUUUAAAGUGGUACGCGAGCUGGGUUUAGAACGUCGUGAGACAGUUCGGUCCCUAUCUGCCGUGGGCGCUGGAGAACUGAGGGGGGCUGCUCCUAGUACGAGAGGACCGGAGUGGACGCAUCACUGGUGUUCGGGUUGUCAUGCCAAUGGCACUGCCCGGUAGCUAAAUGCGGAAGAGAUAAGUGCUGAAAGCAUCUAAGCACGAAACUUGCCCCGAGAUGAGUUCUCCCUGACUCCUUGAGAGUCCUGAAGGAACGUUGAAGACGACGACGUUGAUAGGCCGGGUGUGUAAGCGCAGCGAUGCGUUGAGCUAACCGGUACUAAUGAACCGUGAGGCUUAACCUU